Long non-coding RNA from Eptesicus fuscus (big brown bat), 572 nucleotides. RefSeq lists it as uncharacterized. Lineage: Eukaryota; Metazoa; Chordata; Mammalia; Chiroptera; Vespertilionidae. The transcript is spliced from 3 exons. The record is from RefSeq and is a predicted model, not a curated record.
GUUAGUCUGGGCACCGGGGCACUCGGACCCCUAACUCUGGGUGUGAGCUCUCUCUGGAUCUGAACUACCUGACCAAGCUCUUGCUCUCUGCCGAAGCCACAUCUCCCACAGGUGCAGCUGUGGGCGCAGUCUCAACAGCACCCUGGAGCAUGCCCGUGCCUCUUCCUGACCUGGGACCUAACCUGUGGCCACACCGAGCGAGGUGACCGAGCUCUCAGCCGGUGAGGGACAGCGCCCCCAAGCAAAGAGCCCUGGCUAAAGAAUGCUCCACAGAGAAUGGAUGGGGAAACCAUAAAUUCAGAAAAAUCAUGGAGAAGCCUUGUCUGAAGACGUUAGAGCCACACAACGCGAGUGGCUUCUGGAUAUGUGAGAGGACUGCAGAGGUCAGCUGUCUAGAAGAAUCGCAGAAAGUAAAGAGGAUUCUCAGUACAAGCAAGGGAGAAGCGUGUUUCUGUUGCAGAAAAACACAGAAAUGUUGGGGCUGCUUGUUGCCAAAAUAGAGCUUAUUCUAGCUUCCCUUCCAUGGGUCCUUAUUUGUCAUUUGUAUUAUCUGUCCUCAUAUAAAGAUUCUU